RNAcentral lists this ribosomal RNA (1522 nucleotides) under Escherichia coli. RNAcentral's name for it is "bacterial SSU rRNA". It matches the Rfam family "Bacterial small subunit ribosomal RNA". The record is from RNAcentral. RNAcentral also lists the same sequence under 1 other name. Lineage: Bacteria; Pseudomonadati; Pseudomonadota; Gammaproteobacteria; Enterobacterales; Enterobacteriaceae.
AGAGUUUGAUCAUGGCUCAGAUUGAACGCUGGCGGCAGGCCUAACACAUGCAAGUCGAACGGUAACAGGAAGAAGCUUGCUGCUUUGCUGACGAGUGGCGGACGGGUGAGUAAUGUCUGGGAAACUGCCUGAUGGAGGGGGAUAACUACUGGAAACGGUAGCUAAUACCGCAUAACGUCGCAAGACCAAAGAGGGGGACCUUCGGGCCUCUUGCCAUCGGAUGUGCCCAGAUGGGAUUAGCUUGUUGGUGGGGUAACGGCUCACCAAGGCGACGAUCCCUAGCUGGUCUGAGAGGAUGACCAGCCACACUGGAACUGAGACACGGUCCAGACUCCUACGGGAGGCAGCAGUGGGGAAUAUUGCACAAUGGGCGCAAGCCUGAUGCAGCCAUGCCGCGUGUAUGAAGAAGGCCUUCGGGUUGUAAAGUACUUUCAGCGGGGAGGAAGGGAGUAAAGUUAAUACCUUUGCUCAUUGACGUUACCCGCAGAAGAAGCACCGGCUAACUCCGUGCCAGCAGCCGCGGUAAUACGGAGGGUGCAAGCGUUAAUCGGAAUUACUGGGCGUAAAGCGCACGCAGGCGGUUUGUUAAGUCAGAUGUGAAAUCCCCGGGCUCAACCUGGGAACUGCAUCUGAUACUGGCAAGCUUGAGUCUCGUAGAGGGGGGUAGAAUUCCAGGUGUAGCGGUGAAAUGCGUAGAGAUCUGGAGGAAUACCGGUGGCGAAGGCGGCCCCCUGGACGAAGACUGACGCUCAGGUGCGAAAGCGUGGGGAGCAAACAGGAUUAGAUACCCUGGUAGUCCACGCCGUAAACGAUGUCGACUUGGAGGUUGUGCCCUUGAGGCGUGGCUUCCGGAGCUAACGCGUUAAGUCGACCGCCUGGGGAGUACGGCCGCAAGGUUAAAACUCAAAUGAAUUGACGGGGGCCCGCACAAGCGGUGGAGCAUGUGGUUUAAUUCGAUGCAACGCGAAGAACCUUACCUGGUCUUGACAUCCACGGAAGUUUUCAGAGAUGAGAAUGUGCCUUCGGGAACCGUGAGACAGGUGCUGCAUGGCUGUCGUCAGCUCGUGUUGUGAAAUGUUGGGUUAAGUCCCGCAACGAGCGCAACCCUUAUCCUUUGUUGCCAGCGGUCCGGCCGGGAACUCAAAGGAGACUGCCAGUGAUAAACUGGAGGAAGGUGGGGAUGACGUCAAGUCAUCAUGGCCCUUACGACCAGGGCUACACACGUGCUACAAUGGCGCAUACAAAGAGAAGCGACCUCGCGAGAGCAAGCGGACCUCAUAAAGUGCGUCGUAGUCCGGAUUGGAGUCUGCAACUCGACUCCAUGAAGUCGGAAUCGCUAGUAAUCGUGGAUCAGAAUGCCACGGUGAAUACGUUCCCGGGCCUUGUACACACCGCCCGUCACACCAUGGGAGUGGGUUGCAAAAGAAGUAGGUAGCUUAACCUUCGGGAGGGCGCUUACCACUUUGUGAUUCAUGACUGGGGUGAAGUCGUAACAAGGUAACCGUAGGGGAACCUGCGGUUG